This 253-nucleotide ribosomal RNA is filed under the name uncultured bacterium. Its description in RNAcentral is "partial 16S ribosomal RNA". It matches the Rfam family "Bacterial small subunit ribosomal RNA", at positions 524 to 776 of the family's 1533-position model. The record is from RNAcentral.
UACGUAGGGGGCAAGCGUUGUCCGGAUUUAUUGGGCGUAAAGAGCGUGUAGGCGGCCAUACAGGUCAGCUGUGAAAACUCGAGGCUCAACCUCGAGACGUCGGUUGAAACCGUAUGGCUAGAGUCCGGAAGAGGAGAGUGGAAUUCCCGGUGUAGCGGUGAAAUGCGCAGAUAUCGGGAAGAACACCCGUGGCGAAGGCGGCUCUCUGGGACGGUACUGACGCUGAGACGCGAAAGCGUGGGGAGCAAAACGG